RNAcentral lists this ribosomal RNA (253 nucleotides) under uncultured bacterium. RNAcentral describes it as "partial 16S ribosomal RNA". It matches the Rfam family "Bacterial small subunit ribosomal RNA", at positions 524 to 776 of the family's 1533-position model. The record is from RNAcentral.
UACAGAGGGGGCAAGCGUUAUUCGGAAUUAUUGGGCGUAAAGAGCUCGUAGGCGGUUUGUCGCGUCUGCCGUGAAAGUCCGGGGCUCAACUCCGGAUCUGCGGUGGGUACGGGCAGACUAGAGUGAUGUUGGGGAGACUGGAAUUCCUGGUGUAGCGGUGAAAUGCGCAGAUAUCAGGAGGAACACCGAUGGCGAAGGCAGGUCUCUGGGCAUUAACUGACGCUGAGGAGCGAAAGCAUGGGGAGCGAACAGG